RNAcentral lists this long non-coding RNA (4828 nucleotides) under Homo sapiens (human). Its description in RNAcentral is "HSALNT0272055". Lineage: Eukaryota; Metazoa; Chordata; Mammalia; Primates; Hominidae. The record is from RNAcentral.
GUAAGACCCACAGAAUGCCUUUGAGCAUAAUGUGAUGGGCGGGGGGGGGGGUUUGUUUAAAUCAGAUUAUGCAGGUUGACUUUGAAAAACUGCAUUUGUCUUGGAUAUGCCUCCCCUUCCCUUCUACCUAAGGAUUCUGCUAACCCUAGAGUCACAUCUGAAUAUGGAGAAAUACGAUCAUUUUGGAAGAAAUCUCGGAUUUGGUGUUAGAUAAAAGUGAUUUCCAAUUUCUGCUAUGCAGUUUGCCAACUGUGUGACUUUGAGCAAUUUACACAACCCUGUUGUGCUUCCAUUUUCUCAUCUCUAAAAUAAGGACUAUGAUAAUACCUAUGUCAUAGCAUAGACUAUCAAAUGAUGUGUGUGAAAUUGUUUAUAAAUACACAAGUGCCAUCCACCUCUAAUUCACACAGCCUGUUCUUUUCCACAGCAUGUGCUGGAUGUCAGUGAUUGGAAAAUUUACCUUUUCCUAUGUCUGUCCAUUUCUUCUACAUUAUUCGUUCUUGUCCCUUUUGGAGGGAAUGGUGCCAUCCAACUGUGCAUGGUUCUAUACCUUGAUAACAGCUCCACAGAAAUUGAACUUAAUGUAUGCUGCAACACGUGUCUGAAAAUAAAUGGGCUGUGAGACAGGAAAUGCUAGUUCUGCCUCUCUCCCAGUGAAGUCGAGAUGAGACAGCUGUGCCUAUAAAUGAAGCCAUUUGAAGAGUUAACAUGGAAGACAGCUCCACGUAAUUGCGAACUUCUGUGGAGCUACUCACAGACCAUGCUCUAGAAAUUAAUAAAAGUAGUGAAUAAGAUGGGAAGGAUGCACAAAAUGAAAACCAAAGGAACAAAUUAGUUUUCCUGUAUGGUUCAACAGCACUAAAUCCAAAGGCUGCCAGGCUCUGCUGGUCUGUGGUUUAAAUGGGAUUUUUAAAUGAUUUACAUCAAGGCUAUGUAAGAAAUCAAAGCAAAGCAGGAUAAAAAUAAGGAAUGAUGUCACUUGUGAUUCUAGUGGGUAAAAAUACACUGAGACAAGGAAGUAAUUGGUAAUUAAAAUAAUGAAAGAAUUCAUCAUGUUUGCCACUAAAUUGAAAGCUAACAUGUCAUGUUUGCCAAUAUUUUCAUCAUUCACUUAAUUUCAAAAAAGUUUCUCAUCCACUCAAGUGUGUGUUUGUUCAUUCAUCCAUCUAGACAAAAAAAUUUCAGAGAUUUCUCUAUAUACCAGGUACGAUCAUCAGAGCUUUUAUACGCUUUUCACUUAAUUCUUAUAACGAUCAUUCUCCACAGGUAAUAUUAUUCCAAGAUUUAAGUCAAAGAAAUUGAGUUGCUUUAUCACAUAUCAAUAUGAUAAAUUUAGCCAGAAAUGAAAUUGUGAUUUGAAUUCAGUUUUUUUCCUUUAGUAUCUGAUAUGAUACCUUUUCCACUACAAGAGAACUGCCUGUUAUGCACUCAACUGGUAUAUUAAAGUAAAUGAAAAUUUUUGAAUUAAAAUAUAAAUGUAAGAUCUUAUUAGUAAUUUCUUAAUAGCCUCUGAAAAUUGGAAACAACAUAUGAGGCGCUUACACUUACCUAUAGUGUAGCCAGAGUGAGAGGGUGGUAAUGGCAAAUUUCUUUCUUUGUACUUAUGCCAUGAAACCUUAUUUGUUGGAUUUUAUAUAUUAUUGUUCAUCCUGCCAGGUAGAAUUUAAGGUAUUUAUCUUAUUUAUUUCAUUACCUCCUAGACUAUGCUUUCUCAUCAGAAACCUACACUGUAAGUUUUAAAAAUGCGCAUUUCUGAGUUCCAUCCCUAUCUUACUGAAUCUGAACUUCUGGGAUUGGGCCAGAGAAUCUUCAUUUCUUUUUGAGACAUGUUCUCACUCUCACCCAGGCUACAGUUCAGUAGUGUGAUUACGGCUCAUUGUAAUGCCUCAUUCGUAGGUUCAAGUGGUCCUCCUGCCUCAGUCUCCCAAGUAGCUAGAACUAUAGGCAAGCACCACCAUACCCAGCUAAUUUAUUUUAAAUUUUUUUGUUCAGACAGGGUCUCACUAUGCUGCCCAGGCUGGUCUCUUACUCCUGGCCUCAAGUGAUCCACCUGCCUCGGCCUCCCAAAGUGCUGAGAGUACAGAUGUGAACCACUGCACCUGGUCUGAAAUCUGCAUUUUUAACCAGCAGACCAGUUCAUUCUGACAUGCUCGAGUUUGAGAACCACUGACCAGGCGAUCCUCUAUACCAAGCCCACCCACAGUGUUUGCUGGCAGCAUGGCUGACUCUUUCAGAAGCUAAUUCAUCUGACAGGUCCUGACCCCCAAGUCUGGGCCCAGCACUGUGCCAGGAGGCCCUUCCAGCUACACCACAUCACAUGAGGUCACAUCACAUCAAAACCCAUGUGUCUCGUUCAUAUUCCAUGGCGACUGUUGGCUCACCACAGUCCUACUCAGAGUUCUGAGUCAGCCUCAGAAACACUGGGAGCUCUGGGCCACCUCAUAUCGAACAUGAGUCAGAGCUGUGAUCUCUGCUUCCCAUUCCUGGGCUACGCUGCUGAUGUGGUACUGGAUUCCUUCCUAGUCAAUCAACACAGACCUUCAUUUCUACAGAGUUCUCUCACCCCCAAGUAAAUAGACUAAUUUCUUUCUGGUUGAUUUAGGUAUUAAAAUUAAAGAUGUAAAAAUAUUUAUUUACUUGGGUAAUGAUGAAUGAGUGCCUUGCAGGAGUAAUGAUUAAUCAUGCUCCACCUGGAAACCAGUGCCAAAACGACUCUGCUAAUAGAAUCCAUCAACUGCUGAAAUAAGUGAUUGCACUGAAGCUUGCUUUAUUCGUACGACCACCACUUUCCGGCCCAGCAGUACCUGUUUAGCCACGAUGGCCGCCAGGCGGACCAGGAGAUGGCCUCGACCAUCGAGCACCAGGACCUGCACCUCCGCCAUCUUCGGCAGCCGCUUGGGAAAAAGCGCUUCUCCCAUUUUUAAAGCUAUGUCCCACGUCUUCUCCAUUUCACCCCAGGUGGAGCUGCAGCCCAGCUGGAGACACAAACGUUCCCAUUUGUAGCUGAGAAGUCCCUGUUUGGUGGAUCAUGGGCUCCUUCCACUGGUUUUGAUGAAUACAUGAGGGAUAGGUGUGUCUAAGACUAUACAGCUAAUAAGUGAUUGGAAUAAAUAGAAGCAUUGACAUCCUGAGCUGUAAGGGUCAUGCUCACAGCUCACUGCAGCCUCAACCUCCUGGGCUCAAGCCAUCCUCCCACCUCAGCUUCCCAAGUAGCUGGGACUACAGGCAUGAACCACCAUGUCCAGGAUUUUGUAUUUUUCAUAGAGAUGAGGUUUCUUGAAUAUGUCCUUAAUAUUGGUUAAAAGAGUGCAUACAUCUGAGGCUUUUGCUAGAGUCACUUUGAAUCACCAUGGAAGACUGUGGGGGUAGUUCUAUGAGAAUUUAAUGAAUUUUCAGUGCAGGGCAAAUGUAGGAAAGAAACUCAAUACUUGAUUUAAGACGUAGGAAUAAAAUGUUAUUUCAGGAACAUAAAUCAAAAUUUAUUGUUUCCUGAAAUGUAUGUUCUAAGUGAAUUAGGUGUUCUGCAACUUAUUUAAUAGCAUUGAAAGUAUAAAAAAUAAAUUUUGAGAUACAUUUGUAGUCUAAUCAGAUAUUGGGAUGCUCAACUCCCAUUUACUGCAGCGAUAGCUAGUCAUAGUGAAAUAUAAUACACACACACACACACACACACACACACACACACACAUAUAUAUAUAUAUAUAUAUAUAUAUAUAUAUUAAAAAUAGUAGUGAGGGAGGCUUAUCAUAUCAGAGUUCUCUCCAGGAAGCUUGUGACAAGGGACUCUGCCAAAUAUAGAGCGAAUAUGUUAGAUCGAAAUCUCCAUGUGAUUUUUGUCUGGCAACAUAAAAAGUUGACAGCUAAAAAGAAGCCCACAAAGACUGCCUUUUCUUCCUUCUGUUUGCAAUUUUUCCUUAGGAUAAUAUUCUCCACCUUUAGACAGUACUGAAUUCUAAAUAUUUGCUUCCUCAAAUACCAUUUUGAUAAAAUUCUAUUUGCCUUACCAGGCUGAUGACCUCUGAUUUAUGUGCUCUGGCCUCAAACUACAUGCUAACACUUUAUUUAGAGAUACACAUAAUAACAUGAAUAUAAAUAUGUUACUUAAAAUCAUUCUUUUAAUAGAAAAAAACGUGUUUCUUUCCCAAAUGAUUUGCAGCACUAUCUUCUGUCUGAAAGUAUUGUGUCUGAAUACAAGACCAUUGUCAAAUAAAAAGAUGUGUGCGUGGGUGUGCAUAUGUAUACGUGUGUUUUAACAAUUCCCAGAAAUUGCCAUAAUGCUAAGAUUAACUCUGGCUUUGAACUAGAAAAGAUAAAACCGGUUAAAGGACACACCAUUGAAAGCCAACUUGUUUUUGUAGUAAAUAUAUAUAUUUUUCUUCAUUUCACCCACAAAUGUAUAUCAUUGCACAUUUGGAGCAGAAAGAACUGAAGCAGCAGAUUGAAAAAAAUGAAUAUUUAUAUUGUAACAGUAGUAAAAGUAAAAGCUAUAUCUUAAAGAAGUUGUGGUUUAGUGGAAAAAUUUCAGGUCUCUUGAGAGAACAAUAGCAAAAGGAACAAAUUAUCUUUAAGUUAUUCGGUUCAGUAGAAAGAAUCAUCUCAUUUUGUUUUCAUUGAAAGCAUUUUAGUCAAGUCUAAUAUCACAAUUUCAAACUGGUUUAUGUUUUUCUUGAAAUCCAAGAGGCUUGGGGUCAAAUACUGCUGUUGUUACAGUGUUUAUGAUUUUGGGAAAGUUACACAAAAUUUCUGAGAUUUGGCUUGUUUGUUAAGUAAGGAUAACGAGACACUUCAAACACAGUGUAAGAUUUCACAUAUGUGAAAAAUCUCAAUUGUG